RNAcentral lists this ribosomal RNA (423 nucleotides) under uncultured bacterium. RNAcentral's name for it is "partial 16S ribosomal RNA". It matches the Rfam family "Bacterial small subunit ribosomal RNA", at positions 360 to 776 of the family's 1533-position model. The record is from RNAcentral.
AAUAUUGAACAAGGGGCGAAGGCCUGACCCAGCCAUGCCGCGUGUGUGAAGAAGGCCUUCGGAUUGUAAAGCACUUUAAGUUGGGAGGAAGAGUUGUAGGCUAAUACCUUGCCAUCUGGACGUUACGAACAGAAUAAGCACCGUCUAACUUCGUGCCCGCAGCCGCGGUAAUACGAAGGGUGCAAGCGUUAAUCGGAAUUACUGGGCGUAAAGCGCGCGUAGGUGGUUCGUUAAGUUGGAAGUGAAAGCCCCGAGCUCAACCUUGGAACUGCUUUCAAAACUGGCAAGCUAGAGUAUGGCAGAGGGUGGUGGAAUUUCCUGUGUAGCGGUGAAAUGCGUAGAUAUAAGAAGGAACACCAGUGGCGAAGGCGACCACCUGGGCUAAUACUGACACUGAGGUACGAAAGCGUGGGAGCAAACCGG